GUAUAGGGGGUGAAUUCUGCCCAAUGGUUGUACAGUGAAACUAAGUACUAACGUAUAAAGCGAAACCCAACUGAAUGGCCGCGGUAACUCUGACCGUGAUAAUGUAGCACAAUAAAUAGCCAAUUAAUUGUUGGCGGGUAUGAAUGGAACCACGAGGGUUUUACUGUCUCAAGAGGAAAGCCGAUGAAAUUAUAGUUGUAGUGAAGAUACUACAUAGACAUUGUAAGACGAAAAGACCCUAUCGAGCUUUACUGGAUACCGAUAGCGCUAACUCAAAAUGAUCGAUACUAAGUAUUCUAAUUUUGAGUUAAUAAUUUUUGUUGGUGUGACAGUUUAGUUGGGGCGACUGCCUUUGAAUAAGAAACGAAGGCGAGCUUAUGGUAUACAAAGCUAAUCUCAUUAGCCUGACAGUGAGGGGGACACCCCCAGCUGGCACAAGGACUACGUCCUAUGUGGGCGAUAAUGACCCGAUAUGAUUGUCCAAAAUAAAUAUCGAAAGCGGAUAAAAGCUACCGUAGGGAUAACAGCGUAAUAUUGUCGGAGAGUUCUUAUCGAGGACAGUGUUUGCGACCUCGAUGUUGAAUUGCGGUGCCCUGGUGCUGUAGAAGGUACCCUAGGUUGGUC
RNAcentral lists this ribosomal RNA (624 nucleotides) under Stereonephthya cundabiluensis. RNAcentral describes it as "partial 16S ribosomal RNA". It matches the Rfam family "Bacterial large subunit ribosomal RNA", at positions 1843 to 2577 of the family's 2925-position model. Lineage: Eukaryota; Metazoa; Cnidaria; Anthozoa; Malacalcyonacea; Nephtheidae. The record is from RNAcentral.